Molecule: ribosomal RNA, 253 nt
Filed under: uncultured bacterium
Lineage: Bacteria
Description: partial 16S ribosomal RNA
Rfam family: Bacterial small subunit ribosomal RNA
Source: RNAcentral
GACAGAGGGUGCAAACGUUGCUCGGAAUCACUGGGCGUAAAGGGCGUGCAGGCGGGAAGGAAAGUCAGAUGUGAAAGCCCUGGGCUCAACCCAGGAACUGCAUUUGAAACUCCCUUUCUUGAGUGUCGGAGAGGAAAGCGGAAUUCCUGGUGUAGAGGUGAAAUUCGUAGAUAUCAGGAGGAACACCGGUGGCGAAGGCGGCUUUCUGGACGACAACUGACGCUGAGACGCGAAAGCGUGGGGAGCAAACAGG